Molecule: ribosomal RNA, 200 nt
Filed under: uncultured eukaryote
Lineage: Eukaryota
Description: partial 18S ribosomal RNA
Rfam family: Eukaryotic small subunit ribosomal RNA
Source: RNAcentral
GCUCCGCCAGUGUAUAUCUAUGCUGCUGCGGUUAAAAAGCUCGUAGUUGGAUCUACGUGCCUGAAGCCAGUCCACCUGAAUGGUUGGUACUGAUCUUCGGCACUAUAUAGACGGUUCGCUCUUGGUGCUCUUAACCGGGUGUCUUGAGUGUCCGUCAAGUUUACUUUGAAAAAAUUAGAGUGCUUAAAACAGGCGUUAGC